GACGAACGCUGGCGGCGUGCUUAACACAUGCAAGUCGAACGGUUAACCUCUUCGUAGGCGUUCAUUGGCGAACGGAUGAGUGACACGUGGCCAACCUUCCCCCUGCUCUGGGAUAACUCCAUCCCAUUGGGGCUACUACUGCCUCUUCCCCGCUUCCCGCGUGGGUGGUGGUUCUACGGGUUUCCGGCUAUGGGUUGGCCCUCGGCCUAUCAGCUUGUUGGUGGGGUAGUGGCCUACCAAGGCCGCGACGGGUAGCCGGCCUGGGAGGGUGACCGGCCACAAUGGGCCUGAGACACGGCGCAGACUGCUACGGGAGGCAGCAGGGGGGAGUAUGGCGCAAUGGGGGGGAGCCUGAGGAAGAGACGCCGCGAGGGGGAUGACGGCCUUCGGGUGGUAAACCUCUGUAAGCAGGGACGAAGCGCAAGUGACGGUACCUGCAGAAGAAGCACCGGCCAACUACGUG
RNAcentral lists this ribosomal RNA (463 nucleotides) under uncultured bacterium. RNAcentral describes it as "partial 16S ribosomal RNA". It matches the Rfam family "Bacterial small subunit ribosomal RNA", at positions 28 to 507 of the family's 1533-position model. The record is from RNAcentral.